UUUUUUGGUUUUUUGAGACAGGGUUUCUCUGUAUAGCCCUGGCUGUCCUGGAAAUCACUCUGUAGACCAGGCUGGCCUCGAACUCAGAAAUCCGCCUGUCUCUUCCUCCCGAGUGCUGGGAUUAAAGGGGUGCACCACCACACCCGGCUUAUCUUUUGAUUCUUUUUCCACAGAAUUAAGUAAAAAAUAGUAGUAUGGUAACUCCUACCCAGGACCCUGAUGGUUUGUUCUAUAAACUGAUAUGAAUGACACACGAUAACUGUAUUUCAUAUACCUUUUCAAUGCUACACAUAAUUCUGAGACUGAAACAAAUAUCUCGGAGCUGAGACCUGAGUUGUAACGGGCUCUGCAUGGGACUCUUUGUUGGUGAGUUACUGCGAGGCAGGUCUCUGACUCAGGAGUAACUGUGCCUCCUAGUCUUCGCUGUGGCCUUGGAGGAUCCGAGCAUCUGGUCUUAAGAGCUUUGCCUUUUCCAUCUCUGAAUGUCCCCAGCCCCACUGUGCGUUGUGCCGUCUGUGUCUCAUUAAUAGAGCUCUCAUUAGGUGCAUUUGUGUCCAGACUCGACAGCCAUAUGCUCAUCUCAGAUAGAGAACUGUCAGCCUUACGAUGGCUCCCUGCCUUCAGCAUCCCGAAGUCAGUCCCCUAAAUGUUGGGGGAGUAAGGGGAGAUAGAGCUGAAGAGCUGGUGGGAUGUGUCUGCCAGAUCCAUCUCCACCCUCUUUUCCUGGAACACACCAGGGAAGCAUUCUGCCCUGCGCUACAGCCUCAGCCCAAGAAAUGGAAGUGUGUGAUAACAAAUCACUUUCUCUGUAUAUAUGUACACUCACUACCACAGAUAGCACUUGAUCAAUUGCUAUAAGGUGGCAUUAAUACUCAGAUAACCACAAAGGACUUUGAAACCCUGAGCUACUUUUUUUUUAAAUAAAAUAAAAAAUUAAAUUAAAUUAAAUUAAAUAAAAAAAAAAAACCAGUGUCCUAUACUGUAGCUCAGGCUAGCCUAGAACUCUUCUGGACUGGCCUGGGACUCGGGAGCCACCAUGCCUUUUAUUUAUUUAUUUAUUUAUUUAUUUAUUUAUUUAUUUAUUUAAAGAUAGUGUCUUGCAAUGUUAGUCCUAGCUGGCCUGGGACUUGCUAUGUAGACAAGGCUAACCUUGAACUGAACUCAGAGACCUGCCUGCUUUUUACCUCAGCCUCCUGCAUGCUGAGAUUAAAAAUGUACACCACCAUGUCCCUUUUACAUUGUCCCCACCCCAGCCUCCCACGUGCUCUCACAGCAAGGCCGUGAUCCCACGCUGGUCUCAUUUGGACAUUUUAACGUGGCUGGGAAGCUGUCUUGCCAUGACUUACUGGGGGAAAAGCAGCCUAAGGCCAUCCCUCCCUGCUUCCAUGCACACAGAAGUGUCGUCCGUCUGUGGCAGGAGUAACCGCGGGAGACUGUUGUGUUUGAAUGUCCCCGAGAUUACUAGUUCUGGGUUUGCCGUCAGGGACCGCUCAGGCUUGCUACCUGAUGUGUAAUUCAGGCCCUUGACUUUCGUGACCGUUUUGGGCAUGGGCUGCAGAAAUGUCAAGCUAUCCUCUUCUUCCUCGUGGUCUCUUUUCCUUCCAUACUCUCUGCUGCUUUAUGCCUAGUUGGACAAUCUGAAUAAAAGUAGUACCCUUGGAGAAGUGAGGACAGAAGAUUCCCAAAAGACUGCUGCUGUCUUUUGGCUGUCCUUUUCGAUCCAAGGCCCUGGGGACGUGGUAGUCCCAGCACAGUGUUGAGAGAUACCGUGGUCUUCAGUGCAGCUAAAGCUCUAAAAUAAGUCCAUACCCCCUCACCUCCCAAAAAAGGUAUUAUCCAGCUCCCAGAAGGCUGAGGCAGGAGGAUUGCUAUAAUUUUGAGGCCGGCCCAAGACACAUACUAGGUACCAGGCCAGAAAUCCUAUCUUAGAAAAAAGAAGAAAGGACUGGGAUUGUGGCCCAGGUGGUAGAAUGCUUGCUUUGCAGGCAGGAAGCCCCAUAGGUUUGCGCCCCAUAAACCAGGUGGGCAGAGCGUCUGUAAUCUCAGCAAUCUUCGGGUGAAGCAGGAGGAUCAGAGUUCAAAGUCAUUGCUGGAGGUCAGCCUUGGUUGCUUGAGACUGACUCUGUUUCAAUAAAUGGAUGGAUGGAUGGAUGGAUGGAUGGAUGGAUGGAUGGAUGGAUGGAUGCAAGAACAGAAAAGGCCCUUUGAAAUAAAUAGGACAUGCCUUGCACAUGUCUCCUCCCCGGGGAGCUGAGGGGUGGGAGUGGAGAAGGGAGCUGUGCUUGCUCAUGUCCUCCAAACGCCCCCUGUGGGAGCUGGAUUCUCUAGUCUGCUUCUGAAGCAGCCAACAGACUUGAUUAAGGAAGGUCUGCUCUACACAAAAGCCUUUUGUCAGUGUGGUUUAAAGCAUUUGAUUUUUUGUUUGUUUGGUUUGGAACCUCCAUCCGUGUUUACUUUGUCUUACAGUGGCUUGAGUCCAGCCAAUGACACCGGAGC
RNAcentral lists this long non-coding RNA (2496 nucleotides) under Mus musculus (house mouse). Its description in RNAcentral is "long non-coding RNA chr11:103040701-103043197". The record is from RNAcentral. Lineage: Eukaryota; Metazoa; Chordata; Mammalia; Rodentia; Muridae.